This 274-nucleotide ribosomal RNA is filed under the name uncultured bacterium. RNAcentral's name for it is "partial 16S ribosomal RNA". It matches the Rfam family "Bacterial small subunit ribosomal RNA", at positions 523 to 796 of the family's 1533-position model. The record is from RNAcentral.
AUACGAAGGGGGCUAGCGUUGUUCGGAAUUACUGGGCGUAAAACGCGCGUAGGCGGACUGAUCAGUUGGGGGUGAAAUCCCAGGGCUUAACCCUGGAACUGCCUCCAAUACUGUCAGUCUUGAGUUCGGGAGAGGUGAGUGGAAUUCCUAGUGUAGAGGUGAAAUUCGUAGAUAUUAGGAAGAACACCAGUGGCGAAGGCGGCUCACUGGCCCGAUACUGACGCUGAGGCGCGAAAGCGUGGGGAGCAAACAGGAUUAGAAACCCUAGUAGUCC